Molecule: ribosomal RNA, 490 nt
Filed under: uncultured bacterium
Lineage: Bacteria
Description: partial 16S ribosomal RNA
Rfam family: Bacterial small subunit ribosomal RNA
Source: RNAcentral
GAUGAACGCUAGCGGCAGGCCUAAUACAUGCAAGUCGAACGGGAUCCAGAUCAAAGCUUGCUUUGGUCUGGUGAGAGUGGCGCACGGGUGCGUAACGCGUGAGCAACCUACCCUUGUCAGGGGGAUAGCCCGGCGAAAGUCGGAUUAAUACCGCAUGACAUCAUUGAGAGGCAUCUUUCGAUGAUCAAAGAUUUAUCGGACAAGGAUGGGCUCGCGUGACAUUAGCUAGUUGGUAUGGUAACGGCUUACCAAGGCUGCGAUGUCUAGGUGAUCUGAGAGGCGGAUCCACCAGACUGGUACUAAGACACAGACCAGAAUGCUACGGGAGGGAGCAGUAAGGAAUAUUAGUCAAUGGACGGAAGUCUAAACCAGCCAUGCCGGGUGCAGGAGGACGGCCCUAUGAGAUGUAAACUGCUGUUAUACGGGAACAGACGUCGGUACGUGUACCGGUCUGAGUGUACCGUAAGAAUAAGGAUCGGCUAACUCCGUG